UACAGAGGUCUCAAGCGUUGUUCGGAUUCAUUGGGCGUAAAGGGUGCGUAGGCGGCGCGGUAAGUCGGGUGUGAAAUCUCGGGGCUUAACUCCGAGACUGCAUUCGAUACUGCCGUGCUUGAGGACUGGAGAGGAGACUGGAAUUUACGGUGUAGCGGUGAAAUGCGUAGAUAUCGUAAGGAAGACCAGUGGCGAAGGCGGGUCUCUGGGCCGAAACUGACGCUGAGGAGCGAAAGCGUGGGGAGCAAACAGG
Molecule: ribosomal RNA, 253 nt
Filed under: uncultured bacterium
Lineage: Bacteria
Description: partial 16S ribosomal RNA
Rfam family: Bacterial small subunit ribosomal RNA
Source: RNAcentral